RNAcentral lists this ribosomal RNA (433 nucleotides) under uncultured bacterium. RNAcentral's name for it is "partial 16S ribosomal RNA". It matches the Rfam family "Bacterial small subunit ribosomal RNA", at positions 29 to 507 of the family's 1533-position model. The record is from RNAcentral.
AACGAACGCUGGCGGCAUGCCUAACACAUGCAAGUCGAACGAGACCUUCGGGUCUAGUGGCGCACGGGUGCGUAACGCGUGGGAACCUGCCCUUAGGUUCGGAAUAACUCCCCGAAAGGGGUGCUGAUACCGGAUAAUGUCUUCGGACCAAAGAUUUAUCGCCUUUGGAUGGGCCCGCGUUGGAUUAGCUAGUUGGUAGGGUAAAAGCCUACCAAGGCGACGAUCCAUAGCUGGUCUGAGAGGAUGAUCAGCCACACUGGGACUGAGACACGGCCCAGACUCCUACGGGAGGCAGCAGUGGGGAAUAUUGGACAAUGGGCGAAAGCCUGAUCCAGCAAUGCCGCGUGAGUGAUGAAGGCCUUAGGGUUGUAAAGCUCUUUUACCCGGGAUGAUAGUGACAGUACCGGGAGAAUAAGCUCCGGCUAACUCCGUG